AAAAGAACCCCGGCGAGGGGAGUGAAAAAGAACCUGAAACCGUGUACGUACAAGCAGUGGGAGCACGCUUAGGCGUGUGACUGCGUACCUUUUGUAUAAUGGGUCAGCGACUUAUAUUCUGUAGCAAGGUUAACCGAAUAGGGGAGCCGAAGGGAAACCGAGUCUUAACUGGGCGUUAAGUUGCAGGGUAUAGACCCGAAACCCGGUGAUCUAGCCAUGGGCAGGUUGAAGGUUGGGUAACACUAACUGGAGGACCGAACCGACUAAUGUUGAAAAAUUAGCGGAUGACUUGUGGCUGGGGGUGAAAGGCCAAUCAAACCGGGAGAUAGCUGGUUCUCCCCGAAAGCUAUUUAGGUAGCGCCUCGUGAAUUCAUCUCCGGGGGUAGAGCACUGUUUCGGCAAGGGGGUCAUCCCGACUUACCAACCCGAUGCAAACUGCGAAUACCGGAGAAUGUUAUCACGGGAGACACACGGCGGGUGCUAACGUCCGUCGUGAAGAGGGAAACAACCCAGACCGCCAGCUAAGGUCCCAAAGUCAUGGUUAAGUGGGAAACGAUGUGGGAAGGCCCAGACAGCCAGGAUGUUGGCUUAGAAGCAGCCAUCAUUUAAAGAAAGCGUAAUAGCUCACUGGUCGAGUCGGCCUGCGCGGAAGAUGUAACGGGGCUAAACCAUGCACCGAAGCUGCGGCAGCGACGCUUAUGCGUUGUUGGGUAGGGGAGCGUUCUGUAAGCCUGUGAAGGUGUGCUGUGAGGCAUGCUGGAGGUAUCAGAAGUGCGAAUGCUGACAUAAGUAACGAUAAAGCGGGUGAAAAGCCCGCUCGCCGGAAGACCAAGGGUUCCUGUCCAACGUUAAUCGGGGCAGGGUGAGUCGACCCCUAAGGCGAGGCCGAAAGGCGUAGUCGAUGGGAAACAGGUUAAUAUUCCUGUACUUGGUGUUACUGCGAAGGGGGGACGGAGAAGGCUAUGUUGGCCGGGCGACGGUUGUCCCGGUUUAAGCGUGUAGGCUGGUUUUCCAGGCAAAUCCGGAAAAUCAAGGCUGAGGCGUGAUGACGAGGCACUACGGUGCUGAAGCAACAAAUGCCCUGCUUCCAGGAAAAGCCUCUAAGCAUCAGGUAACAUCAAAUCGUACCCCAAACCGACACAGGUGGUCAGGUAGAGAAUACCAAGGCGCUUGAGAGAACUCGGGUGAAGGAACUAGGCAAAAUGGUGCCGUAACUUCGGGAGAAGGCACGCUGAUAUGUAGGUGAAGUCCCUCGCGGAUGGAGCUGAAAUCAGUCGAAGAUACCAGCUGGCUGCAACUGUUUAUUAAAAACACAGCACUGUGCAAACACGAAAGUGGACGUAUACGGUGUGACGCCUGCCCGGUGCCGGAAGGUUAAUUGAUGGGGUUAGCCGCAAGGCGAAGCUCUUGAUCGAAGCCCCGGUAAACGGCGGCCGUAACUAUAACGGUCCUAAGGUAGCGAAAUUCCUUGUCGGGUAAGUUCCGACCUGCACGAAUGGCGUAAUGAUGGCCAGGCUGUCUCCACCCGAGACUCAGUGAAAUUGAACUCGCUGUGAAGAUGCAGUGUACCCGCGGCAAGACGGAAAGACCCCGUGAACCUUUACUAUAGCUUGACACUGAACAUUGAGCCUUGAUGUGUAGGAUAGGUGGGAGGCUUAGAAGUGUGGACGCCAGUCUGCAUGGAGCCGACCUUGAAAUACCACCCUUUAAUGUUUGAUGUUCUAACGUUGACCCGUAAUCCGGGUUGCGGACAGUGUCUGGUGGGUAGUUUGACUGGGGCGGUCUCCUCCUAAAGAGUAACGGAGGAGCACGAAGGUUGGCUAAUCCUGGUCGGACAUCAGGAGGUUAGUGCAAUGGCAUAAGCCAGCUUGACUGCGAGCGUGACGGCGCGAGCAGGUGCGAAAGCAGGUCAUAGUGAUCCGGUGGUUCUGAAUGGAAGGGCCAUCGCUCAACGGAUAAAAGGUACUCCGGGGAUAACAGGCUGAUACCGCCCAAGAGUUCAUAUCGACGGCGGUGUUUGGCACCUCGAUGUCGGCUCAUCACAUCCUGGGGCUGAAGUAGGUCCCAAGGGUAUGGCUGUUCGCCAUUUAAAGUGGUACGCGAGCUGGGUUUAGAACGUCGUGAGACAGUUCGGUCCCUAUCUGCCGUGGGCGCUGGAGAACUGAGGGGGGCUGCUCCUAGUACGAGAGGACCGGAGUGGACGCAUCACUGGUGUUCGGGUUGUCAUGCCAAUGGCACUGCCCGGUAGCUAAAUGCGGAAGAGAUAAGUGCUGAAAGCAUCUAAGCACGAAACUUGCCCCGAGAUGAGUUCUCCCUGACUCCUUGAGAGUCCUGAAGGAACGUUGAAGACGACGACGUUGAUAGGCCGGGUGUGUAAGCGCAGCGAUGCGUUGAGCUAACCGGUACUAAUGAACCGUGAGGCUUAACCUU
RNAcentral lists this ribosomal RNA (2430 nucleotides) under Escherichia coli. Its description in RNAcentral is "partial 23S ribosomal RNA". It matches the Rfam family "Bacterial large subunit ribosomal RNA", at positions 517 to 2925 of the family's 2925-position model. The record is from RNAcentral. Lineage: Bacteria; Pseudomonadati; Pseudomonadota; Gammaproteobacteria; Enterobacterales; Enterobacteriaceae.